This 359-nucleotide ribosomal RNA is filed under the name uncultured bacterium. RNAcentral describes it as "bacterial SSU rRNA". It matches the Rfam family "Bacterial small subunit ribosomal RNA", at positions 71 to 422 of the family's 1533-position model. The record is from RNAcentral.
ACCGGGACUUCGGUCCCGGGGACAGCGGCGAACGGGUGAGUAACACGUGGAUAACCUGCCCUCGGCACCGGAAUAGCCCGGGGAAACUCGGAUUAAUGCCGGAUAGCCCCACAUCCCUGCGGGGAACGUGGGAAAAGGUAGCUUCGGCCUCUGGCCGAGGAUGGGUCCGCGGUGGAUUAGCUUGUUGGUGCGGGUAAUGGCCCACCAAGGCGACGAUCCAUAGCUGGUCUGAGAGGACGAUCAGCCACACUGGGACUGAGACACGGCCCAGACUCCUACGGGAGGCAGCAGUGGGGAAUCUUGCGCAAUGGGCGAAAGCCUGACGCAGCGACGCCGCGUGCGGGAAGAAGGCCUUCGGG